GACACUAUGGCCGAGUGGUUAAGGCGACAGAUUCGAAUCCGUUCGACUAUCUGUUUCCCUCUGGGAGCGCAGGUUCAAAUCCUGCUGGUGUCG
This 93-nucleotide transfer RNA is filed under the name Trametes sanguinea. RNAcentral describes it as "tRNA-Ser". It matches the Rfam family "tRNA". Rfam says of the family: Transfer RNA (tRNA) molecules are approximately 80 nucleotides in length. Their secondary structure includes four short double-helical elements and three loops (D, anti-codon, and T loops). Further hydrogen bonds mediate the characteristic L-shaped molecular structure. tRNAs have two regions of fundamental functional importance: the anti-codon, which is responsible for specific mRNA codon recognition, and the 3' end, to which the tRNAs corresponding amino acid is attached (by aminoacyl-tRNA synthetases). tRNAs cope with the degeneracy of the genetic code in two manners: having more than one tRNA (with a specific anti-codon) for a particular amino acid; and 'wobble' base-pairing, i.e. permitting non-standard base-pairing at the 3rd anti-codon position. The record is from RNAcentral. Lineage: Eukaryota; Fungi; Basidiomycota; Agaricomycetes; Polyporales; Polyporaceae.